This 469-nucleotide ribosomal RNA is filed under the name uncultured bacterium. RNAcentral describes it as "partial 16S ribosomal RNA". It matches the Rfam family "Bacterial small subunit ribosomal RNA", at positions 28 to 507 of the family's 1533-position model. The record is from RNAcentral.
GACGAACGCUGGCGGCGUGCUUAACACAUGCAAGUCGAACGAUGAAGCGCCAGCUUGCUGGUGUGGAUUAGUGGCGAACGGGUGAGUAACACGUGAGUAACCUGCCCCCUACUCUGGGAUAAGCCUGGGAAACUGGGUCUAAUACUGGAUAUGACCAAUCACUGCAUGGUGUGUUGGUGGAAAGCUUUUUUGGUGGGGGAUGGACUCGCGGCCUAUCAGCUUGUUGGUGGGGUAAUGGCCUACCAAGGCGACGACGGGUAGCCGGCCUGAGAGGGCGACCGGCCACACUGGGACUGAGACACGGCCCAGACUCCUACGGGAGGCAGCAGUGGGGAAUAUUGCACAAUGGGCGAAAGCCUGAUGCAGCGACGCCGCGUGAGGGAUGACGGCCUUCGGGUUGUAAACCUCUUUCACCAGGGACGAAGCUAACGUGACGGUACCUGGAGAAGAAGCACCGGCUAACUACGUG